RNAcentral lists this ribosomal RNA (497 nucleotides) under uncultured bacterium. Its description in RNAcentral is "partial 16S ribosomal RNA". It matches the Rfam family "Bacterial small subunit ribosomal RNA", at positions 28 to 507 of the family's 1533-position model. The record is from RNAcentral.
GAUGAACGCUGGCGGUGUGCCUAAUACAUGCAAGUCGAGCGAACAGACGAGGAGCUUACUCCUCUGACGUUAGCGGCGGACGGGUGAGUAACACGUGGAUAACCUACCUAUAAGACUGGGAUAACUUCGGGAAACCGGAGCUAAUACCGGAUAACAUGUUGAACCGCAUGGUUCAACAGUGAAAGACGGUCUUGCUGUCACUUAUAGAUGGAUCCGCGUCGCAUUAGCUAGUUGGUAAGGUAACGGCUUACCAAGGCAACGAUGCGUAGCCGACCUGAGAGGGUGAUCGGCCACACUGGAACUGAGACACGGUCCAGACUCCUACGGGAGGCAGCAGUAGGGAAUCUUCCGCAAUGGGCGAAAGCCUGACGGAGCAACGCCGCGUGAGUGAAGAAGGUCUUCGGAUCGUAAAACUCUGUUAUUAGGGAAGAACAAAUGUGUAAGUAACUACGCACGUCUUGACGGUACCUAAUCAGAAAGCCACGGCUAACUACGUG